Zalophus californianus (California sea lion) is the source of this 492-nucleotide long non-coding RNA. RefSeq lists it as uncharacterized. The record is from RefSeq and is a predicted model, not a curated record. NCBI's taxonomy places the organism in Eukaryota, Metazoa, Chordata, Mammalia, Carnivora, Otariidae. The transcript has 3 exons.
AUAAACAGCAGUGUCCAGCGGGGAGGUGGGUGGGGAGCGGAGUUAGGGAAGGUCAUGGAAGGUCACUGAAGGUCACUGAAACCCGUGGUGGAGCCCUGUCACCGUCACCGUCUGGACUGUGAGCACAUCAUUUGCUUCACUGAGCCUCGUUUUCACUGGUAGGAGAAGGAAGGGUUGGGGAGCAUUACAAAAAUACCUUCUCGUCGACCUCAUAAGGGUGUCAUGAGCGGAUACAGUCCUAUUCUGCGAUACUGGGCAUGAGGAUUUUAACGCAUGAAUUUGGGACGGGAGCACACAUAGGCCCAUAACAGAAGGCUAGAUGAGACACUGUAUGUUAAAUCCCAGCAUAGAGCAGGCGUUUGUAUCUGUAUGUUCCCAGGGAGUGCUACCAAACACACUGAGGAUGAGAAGAAAACACAAGUGAGCCUCCAGCGUUUUAUAGUCCAUUGUGGUUUGGGAAUGCAGGGGACAGACCUGCCAUCAAACGGCCAG